RNAcentral lists this unclassified non-coding RNA (369 nucleotides) under Hevea brasiliensis (rubber tree). Lineage: Eukaryota; Viridiplantae; Streptophyta; Magnoliopsida; Malpighiales; Euphorbiaceae. The record is from RNAcentral.
GGCUGCUUCUAAUCAAGUUGAUUUCCAAAACAAGGCUGUUGAAGUGACUAAUGAAGUAAAUGCAUGGGCGGAGAAGGAGACUAGUGGCCUUAUCAAAGAGGUUCUUCCUUUUGGAUCAGUUGACAAUACAACCAGGCUUAUAUUUGCAAAUGCACUUUACUUCAAAGGAGCUUGGAAUGAAAAAUUUAAUGCAUCAACUACAAAAGACUAUGAUUUUUACCUUUUGAAUGGUAGCUCGGUUCAUGUGUCCUUUAUGACUAGCAAGAAGAAGCAAUUUAUCUGUGCCUUUGAUGGUUUCAAAGUCCUAGGGCUUCCUUACAAACAAGGUGAAGCUAAACGCCAAUUCUCCAUGUACUUCUUCCUUCCAGA